Molecule: unclassified non-coding RNA, 2312 nt
Filed under: Monomorium pharaonis (pharaoh ant)
Lineage: Eukaryota; Metazoa; Arthropoda; Insecta; Hymenoptera; Formicidae
Description: general transcription and DNA repair factor IIH helicase subunit XPB, transcript variant X2
Source: RNAcentral
UUUGCUAGGUAGUUUAUGUCCACUUUCUCAGGGGGCGUCUUGUAGUUGAAGAUCACCGGAAUCAAAAGCGGACCGUGACACCUCUCAUCCUUCUCUCUGUCGAUGUCAAUACUAAUGCCGUCAAUGGUUACGGACGUUACAGUAUUUGCAGUAUUGGAGCUCUGAACUCGGAUGUUUACACGUGGAUUUGUUUCGAUAAAUGUGUGCAAUCCCGAAUGACUCGCAACGCGUUCACAUUAAUAUGGAAAAAAAGUCUACUAAAAAGAGACAUAAUUACGAGAACAAGAUCAUUCUGGCACCCAUGGUACGCAUCAGUACCCUUCCGAUGCGUUUGCUCGCUCUGGAUUAUGGUGCGGAUAUAGUUUAUACUGAGGAAUUGAUCGAUUGGAAAUUACUUCGUUCGAUUCGUCGAGAAAAUGAUGUCUUAGGCACUAUUGAUUACAUUGAUAAGACAGAUGGUACUGUGGUAUUUCGUACUUGUCCCCGGGAACGAGAGCAUGUUGUUCUUCAAAUUGGUACCUCCGACCCAGCAAGAGCGGCUGAAGUUGCUCAUAUGGUAGAAAAUGAUGUUGCAGGCAUAGACGUUAAUAUGGGUUGUCCAAAGAAAUUUUCAAUGCUUGGUGGAAUGGGUGCUUCUCUUUUAUCUGAUCCACAAAAAGCAACCAAUAUUUUACGGAAACUGAUAGAAACAGUAACUAUACCGAUCACUUGCAAAAUACGCGUUCUGCCUGAGCUCAAGGAAACUCUUAGGCUUUGCAACACUCUUGCCUCUACUGGUAUCGCAGCCAUUGCCAUUCAUGGUCGUACUGUUGAGGAGAGACCGCAGCAUCCCAAUCGUAACCAUAUUCUCAAACAGAUUUCAGCUGCGCUUUCAAUACCAGUUAUCGCGAAUGGUGGCUCCAAAGAUGUUCAAAAACAUUCCGAUAUACUGAGAUUUAAAACAGAAACAGGUUGUAGUAGUGUAAUGCUCGCUCGCGCUGCUGAGUGGAACUGUUCAAUAUUUCGUAAAGAAGGUCUUCUUCCGAUGGAAGAUGUUAUAAAGUCAUAUUUAAAGUAUGCAGUUGAUUGCGACAAUUCACCUUCCAACACAAAGUAUUGUAUACAAAAUAUCCUACGGGAAUUCCAGGAAUCUUCUUUAGGUAGAAAAUUCCUUGAAGCGCAAACACUGGAGCAAAUAUGUGAAUUGUGGAAAUUAGGUGAUUAUUGUCGAUCAAAAAGUAAAGAGUUUCGAGAUAAAGGUUUAUUAGGUCGGUUUCAAAUAACUCCAGGAAUUCUUGAUAAAGAUAUAGAUAAUAUUUCUUAUAAAAGAAAACUGGAAGAGGAAGAUGUUUCUCUGAUGAGUUGUGCUUUUUUGAGAAACAAUUAUUUAACAGACUCAGAUUUACCAAAAACUAGACUACUGAAGUGGACUAAGGAAAAUCAUAAAAAAAUGCCAAUAUAUAAUACUCGGCAAGAGAAUAAGCUUUUUUGUUCUGUUGUUUCUGUUGAUGGCAGGAAAUAUGGUUCCUCUUUUUGGGAAAAAAAUAAAAAAUGGGCCGAACAAGGUGCUGCUUUGGUAUGUCUCUAUUUUCUGGGAAUUAUUGAUGAGAAAAAUCUUACUGCUAGUGGUAAAUGGAAAAAGCGUAAGGACGAUUAUGAUGAAUACAAUGAUGAUGAUUCGAUAGAUAGCAAUGAAGCAGACGGUGUACCAGAUGCGGCAAAAAAUGAUGUAGAAAAACAAGAUGAGUGUGCUAUCGAGGAUGAAUUUGGAGCAAAAGAUUAUCGGUCACAAAUGAUUUUAAAAUCAGAUUGUUCAUCUAGACCAUUAUGGGUGGCACCAAAUGGACAUAUUUUUUUGGAAUCCUUUUCUCCUGUGUAUAAACAUGCUCAUGAUUUUUUAAUAGCUAUAUCAGAACCUGUAUGUCGGCCAGAGCACAUUCAUGAAUAUAAACUAACCGCAUAUUCACUUUAUGCUGCUGUUAGCGUAGGCCUACAAACGCAAGAUAUAAUAGAGUAUCUAAAGAGAUUAAGUAAAACCAGUAUUCCUGAUGGUAUAAUCGAAUUUAUCAAACUGUGUACGUUGUCCUAUGGGAAAUGCUGCAAAGAUUAUUAAAAGAUCCAGUAAUUCAAGAAUGUCGACUGAGAAAGCUUGCAGAAGAUACAGAAACUGAUGAUAUUGUUACAAAUGUUCAAGUUAAAAUAAAAGUUCCUCAGUUUGGAUCAAAAGCACUUAUAAAUACGUCUGUGCCUAGUAAAACGAAUUCAGAGACUGAAUCUGAUCAAAUAUUAACGGAAACAGCUACCAUUCCAGAAGAUAUAACUGCUUUUUACGA